GUCCAGAUGACGAGUUCCAAAUAGGACGAAAUGCGCAUCCUAGAU
This is a non-coding RNA of Trichobilharzia regenti, 45 nucleotides long. The record is from Rfam. Lineage: Eukaryota; Metazoa; Platyhelminthes; Trematoda; Strigeidida; Schistosomatidae.